This 271-nucleotide ribosomal RNA is filed under the name uncultured bacterium. RNAcentral's name for it is "partial 16S ribosomal RNA". It matches the Rfam family "Bacterial small subunit ribosomal RNA", at positions 42 to 305 of the family's 1533-position model. The record is from RNAcentral.
GCAUGCCUAAGACAUGCAAGUCGAACGCUGAAGCUCUAGCUUGCUAGAGUGGAUGAGUGGCGAACGGGUGAGUAACAGGUAGGUAACCUACCCUAAAGACGGGGAUAACAUCUGGAAACGGAUGCUAAUACCGGAUAGUAUAACAUCUCGCAUGGGAAGUUAUUUAAAGGUGCGUAUGCACCACUUUAGGAGGGACCUGCUCCGUAUUAGCUAGUUGGUGAGGUAAUGGCUCACCAAGGCAACGAUGCGUAGCCGAGCUGAGAGGCUGAUC